Molecule: ribosomal RNA, 663 nt
Filed under: uncultured bacterium
Lineage: Bacteria
Description: bacterial SSU rRNA
Rfam family: Bacterial small subunit ribosomal RNA
Source: RNAcentral
AGUGGCGGACGGGUGAGUAACGCGUGAGAAUCUGCCUUCAGGAGGGGGACAACAGUUGGAAACGGCUGCUAAUACCCCGUAAGUCUACGGAUAAAACGGUUAAUUCCGCCUGAAGAUGAGCUCGCGUCGGAUUAGCUAGUUGGUGGGGUAAAGGCUUACCAAGGCGACGAUCCGUAGCUGGUCUGAGAGGAUGAUCAGCCACACUGGGACUGAGACACGGCCCAGACUCCUACGGGAGGCAGCAGUGGGGAAUUUUCCGCAAUGGGCGAAAGCCUGACGGAGCAACGCCGCGUGCGGGAGGACGGCCUGUGGGUUGUAAACCGCUUUUCUCAGGGAAGAAGAUCUGACGGUACCUGAGGAAUCAGCAUCGGCUAACUCCGUGCCAGCAGCCGCGGUAAUACGGAGGAUGCAAGCGUUAUCCGGAUUUAUUGGGCGUAAAGCGUCCGCAGGCUGCUAAUCAAGUCUGCUGUUAAAGGCCGAGGCUUAACUUCGGUUGAGCAGUGGAAACUGAUUAGCUAGAGUGCGAUAGGGGUAGAGGGAAUUCCCAGUGUAGCGGUGAAAUGCGUAGAUAUUGGGAAGAACACCAGUGGCGAAGGCGCUCUACUGGGUCGCAACUGACGCUGAGGGACGAAAGCUAGGGGAGCGAAAGGGAUUAGAUACCCC